ACCCUCUGGCACGCACACACGCGUGCUCACUCACGCUCACGCCCUCCGCCCAGCCAGAAGCGUGGCCCCCUCCAUUCCUUCUGCUGCAAAGCCAGCCACUUUGCUCGCAGCCUCACUGCCAUAGGAACAAAGCCCCAGAAGGUCUGGCCUCCUGAUGAACGUCCUUUGGGUGAGGCUUUAACAUCCUGAGUCACCAGGCUUGUGGGGGGAGAUGGCCUGCCCUGGCCUUUCUCUCUUGCAGGAGGAAAGGUCGCCCCGGAGCAGGGGACUGGACCCUCUGGGCUGGGGGCUCAAGAAGCUGAUGUGAAGAGGAGCAGUGAGAACCAGCCAGUGGGGGAGGAACACAGGCCCUAAGCACCCCGCAAGGACCACCCCUUCCCUCCAGCACCUCCGCUUUUGUCUGUCUUUCCUCGAAGAGCUCCGACCUGCUGCCCUCCCACUUCCAGAAGCCCAGGCCACCCCCACCCCCAGAUGAGCCCUCCCGCACAAACCCUGAACCCUAAAGCAGCUGAAGCACCCAGCUCCCUUCUGGAAGCCUGAGAGCUGAUGGGGUCUCUGUUUCACAGCCGCUCUGUCCCGCCCGCGCAGGGACAGCCCAGCUGCUUUACUGUUUCCCGGACACAGGCGUUACUCGUUACUCCGAGAUUUCCCGCUUCACAGCCCAGGGGCUCCAGCCCUCUCCAGCCUUUGGUGAAGCCGCCAGCACCCCCCCCCCCAACCGUUUGGCUCUAUUCCUCCGACCCCUCCCUAGCCAAGGCCCCCAGCCCUCCAGACCGUUGCAUGGCCCUAACCGAAAAGGGUUCAGGAGCUCAGUGAGCCUGUCCUCUGCUCCACCCAUGGCCACGCUGGCAGGGAGGGGCCAGCUCUGGGACCAGAUGUGGGGUUUUUCCUCCCCGCCUCGCAGGGAGCUGGGAGCGAAGCCCCGGGACAGGGGCGGGGGGUGGAGGGGCGGGUGCGGUGCGGGCCGCGGGGCCACGUGCAGGCUGUCGCCGAGGGCACCUGGGCCGCAACAUCUCCUGAGCGCCCGCCCGCCUCCGCCGCUCUGCGGUUUGCAGCCUCGCAUCUCCCGGCCCGUCUCCGGGGCUCCCCGCUUGACCUCCAUCUGCUUCAGGCCCCCAGCCCUCCGCAAAGGGGUCUCGGCGGGGAGCUGGGCCCUGCCCCCUCCUUGGAUCUCGCGCUCGGAAGCCGCCAGCGGAGGGCGGAGGGCGGGCGCUCCUUCCGCCGUCGGAUGGCGCGGGGUGGUGACACCUGAGACCCCGCUCCACCCCUCCCCUCCCCGGGGCACCCCGUCUCCCUCCGACACGGGCGGCAGCGCGGCGCGCUGGGCUCCGCGCCUCGCGUCCCCGCCCCGCUCCCCCGCCCCUGCGGCGAUCCCCCGGGGGUUCGGGGAGCCGCGCGACCGAGAAAGCGCCUUAAUAAAGAGCUCGUGUCAAGUGAUUGGCUGUGACCUCUGCCCUCCCCGGCCUCGCGCCCGGGGCUCUUGCUUAACCCUUGGAUGCCCGCCCGACCCAUUAAGAGGAAGGAGU
Long non-coding RNA from Mustela erminea (ermine), 1526 nucleotides. RefSeq lists it as uncharacterized. NCBI's taxonomy places the organism in Eukaryota, Metazoa, Chordata, Mammalia, Carnivora, Mustelidae. The record is from RefSeq and is a predicted model, not a curated record. The transcript has 3 exons.